Molecule: ribosomal RNA, 252 nt
Filed under: uncultured Oscillospiraceae bacterium
Lineage: Bacteria; Bacillati; Bacillota; Clostridia; Eubacteriales; Oscillospiraceae
Description: partial 16S ribosomal RNA
Rfam family: Bacterial small subunit ribosomal RNA
Source: RNAcentral
CGGUUAGUGGCGGACUGGUGAGUAACACGUAAGCAACCUGCCUAUCAGAGGGGAAUAACAGUGAGAAAUCAUUGCUAAUACCGCAUAUGCUCACGGUAUCACAUGAUACAGUGAGGAAAGGAGUAAUCCGCUGAUAGAUGGGCUUGCGUCUGAUUAGCUAGUUGGUGGGGCAACGGCCUACCAAGGCGACGAUCAGUAGCCGGACUGAGAGGUUGAACGGCCACAUUGGGACUGAGAUACGGCCCAGACUCC